RNAcentral lists this ribosomal RNA (394 nucleotides) under Shigella sonnei. RNAcentral describes it as "bacterial LSU rRNA". It matches the Rfam family "Bacterial large subunit ribosomal RNA", at positions 1 to 425 of the family's 2925-position model. The record is from RNAcentral. Lineage: Bacteria; Pseudomonadati; Pseudomonadota; Gammaproteobacteria; Enterobacterales; Enterobacteriaceae.
GGGUUGUGAGGUUAAGCGACUAAGCGUACACGGUGGAUGCCCUGGCAGUCAGAGGCGAUGAAGGACGUGCUAAUCUGCGAUAAGCGUCGGUAAGGUGAUAUGAACCGUUAUAACCGGCGAUUUCCGAAUGGGGAAACCCAGUGUGAUUCGUCACACUAUCAUUAACUGAAUCCAUAGGUUAAUGAGGCGAACCGGGGGAACUGAAACAUCUAAGUACCCCGAGGAAAAGAAAUCAACCGAGAUUCCCCCAGUAGCGGCGAGCGGACGGGGAGCAGCCCAGAGCCUGAAUCAGUGUGUGUGUUAGUGGAAGCGUCUGGAAAGGCGUGCGAUACAGGGUGACAGCCCCGUACACAAAAAUGCACAUAUUGUGAGCUUGAUGAGUAGGGCGGGACAC